RNAcentral lists this ribosomal RNA (500 nucleotides) under uncultured bacterium. RNAcentral describes it as "partial 16S ribosomal RNA". It matches the Rfam family "Bacterial small subunit ribosomal RNA", at positions 30 to 523 of the family's 1533-position model. The record is from RNAcentral.
AUUGAACGCUGGCGGCAUGCCUUACACAUGCAAGUCGAACGGCAGCACGGGAGCAAUCCUGGUGGCGAGUGGCGAACGGGUGAGUAAUAUAUCGGAACGUGCCCAGUCGUGGGGGAUAACGUAGCGAAAGCUACGCUAAUACCGCAUACGAUCUAUGGAUGAAAGCGGGGGAUCGCAAGACCUCGCGCGAUUGGAGUGGCCGAUAUCAGAUUAGGUAGUUGGUGAGGUAAAGGCGCACCAAGCCGACGAUCUGUAGCUGGUCUGAGAGGACGACCAGCCACACUGGGACUGAGACACGGCCCAGACUCCUACGGGAGGCAGCAGUGGGGAAUUUUGGACAAUGGGCGCAAGCCUGAUCCAGCAAUGCCGCGUGCAGGAUGAAGGCCUUCGGGUUGUAAACUGCUUUUGUACGGAACGAAACGGCGAGCUCUAAUACAGUUUGCUAAUGACGGUACCGUAAGAAUAAGCACCGGCUAACUACGUGCCAGCCGCCGCGGUAA